RNAcentral lists this ribosomal RNA (492 nucleotides) under uncultured bacterium. Its description in RNAcentral is "partial 16S ribosomal RNA". It matches the Rfam family "Bacterial small subunit ribosomal RNA", at positions 29 to 507 of the family's 1533-position model. The record is from RNAcentral.
AGUGAACGCUGGCGGUAGGCCUAACACAUGCAAGUCGAACGGCAGCACAGUAAGAGCUUGCUCUUACGGGUGGCGAGUGGCGGACGGGUGAGGAAUACAUCGGAAUCUACUUUUUCGUGGGGGAUAACGUAGGGAAACUUACGCUAAUACCGCAUACGACCUACGGGUGAAAGCAGGGGAUCUUCGGACCUUGCGCGAUUGAAUGAGCCGAUGUCGGAUUAGCUAGUUGGCGGGGUAAGGGCCCACCAAGGCGAGGAUCCGUAGCUGGUCUGAGAGGAUGAUCAGCCACACUGGAACUGAGACACGGUCCAGACUCCUACGAGAGGCAGCAGUGGGGAAUAUUGGACAAUGGGCGCAAGCCUGAUCCAGCCAUACCGCGUGGGUGAAGAAGGCCUUCGGGUUGUAAAGCCCUUUUGUUGGGAAAGAAAAGCAGCAGGUUAAUACCCCGCUGUUCUGACGGUACCCAAAGAAUAAGCACCGGCUAACUUCGUG